CAGAGGAUAAAAUCACUGUUCAAAAAAUGCAUGCUUCUUUGUGAUUUGGUCUCAGCCUCAUCUUUCAUCACCAUUUGCUUUAUCCCAGAUGUUUUAAAGAACUUAGAGUUUCCUACAAGGACCAUGUUCUUUCUGGCUCCCUGCCUUUGAAGAUACUGUUUUCCUCCUUUUACUAUUGCUUCAUCCCCUCCUUCCCUUUCACCUUAAAACUUAUAUAAGAUGUAAUUUCAGUGACACUUUUUUUUUUUUUUUAGAAAUGAGCCAGGAUUUCCAUUGGAUUAGUCCAAGAAGGGAGAAAUUUUUAUACUUCAUUGGCCUAGUAUUUUAUCAGUCUUUUAUUAUAGCACUUCCAUGGCAAAAUCUUAUUGUUUUACAUAUGGUUAUUACAUUAAACUGGAGAGCAAAAGAAAGUAUGUUUUAUUUACCGUGGGGUUUCCAGCUCCCUGCAAGAUGCUAGGUAUGUUAUGAGUACUUAACAGUGGUUUAACUAUUUAGCAAAGGCCUAUUUCGUCCCUUCCUCCUGAGUAACUUUUGCAUCAUAUAUACUCUGACCAACACUGUCAAUCCGAUAGGAAAAGGAAAGUGAUCUUAACAUUAAUUCCUGGUUUGAUUUGGAGUACUAUAUUAAAAGUUUUGCGCUAGAAUUCUCUUCUGGCCUUCUUGUAGUGACAUAAGUACUAAAAUUAACCCAGUGCAAAUGUUCCAUAAAUCCCAACUAUCAUUAAU
This 726-nucleotide long non-coding RNA is filed under the name Marmota monax (woodchuck). Lineage: Eukaryota; Metazoa; Chordata; Mammalia; Rodentia; Sciuridae. The record is from RNAcentral.